GAUGGACGCUGGCGGCGUGCCUAAUACAUGCAAGUCGAGCGAACAGACGAGGAGCUUGCUCCUCUGACGUUAGCGGCGGACGGGUGAGUAACACGUGGAUAACCUACCUAUAAGACUGGGAUAACUUCGGGAAACCGGAGCUAAUACCGGAUAAUAUAUUGAACCGCAUGGUUCAAUAGUGAAAGACGGUUUUGCUGUCACUUAUAGAUGGAUCCGCGCCGCAUUAGCUAGUUGGUAAGGUAACGGCUUACCAAGGCAACGAUGCGUAGCCGACCUGAGAGGGUGAUCGGCCACACUGGAACUGAGACACGGUCCAGACUCCUACGGGAGGCAGCAGUAGGGAAUCUUCCGCAAUGGGCGAAAGCCUGACGGAGCAACGCCGCGUGAGUGAUGAAGGUCUUCGGAUCGUAAAACUCUGUUAUUAGGGAAGAACAAAUGUGUAAGUAACUAUGCACGUCUUGACGGUACCUAAUCAGAGAGCCACGGCUAACUACGUG
RNAcentral lists this ribosomal RNA (497 nucleotides) under uncultured bacterium. RNAcentral describes it as "partial 16S ribosomal RNA". It matches the Rfam family "Bacterial small subunit ribosomal RNA", at positions 28 to 507 of the family's 1533-position model. The record is from RNAcentral.